RNAcentral lists this ribosomal RNA (403 nucleotides) under Verrucomicrobiota bacterium. RNAcentral's name for it is "Verrucomicrobia bacterium partial 16S ribosomal RNA". It matches the Rfam family "Bacterial small subunit ribosomal RNA", at positions 355 to 776 of the family's 1533-position model. Lineage: Bacteria; Pseudomonadati; Verrucomicrobiota. The record is from RNAcentral.
UGGGGAAUAUUGCACAAUGGGGGAAACCCUGAUGCAGCGACGCCGCGUGAGCGAAGAAGGCUUUCGAGUCGUAAAGCUCUGUCCUAUGAGAAGAUAAUGACGGUAUCAUAGGAGGAAGCCCUGGCUAAAUACGUGCCAGCAGCCGCGGUAAUACGUAUGGGGCGAGCGUUGUCCGGAAUUAUUGGGCGUAAAGGGUACGUAGGCGGUUUUUUAAGUCGGUGGUUAAAGGCUACGGCUCAACCGUAGUUAGCCUCCGAAACUGGAAGACUUGAGUGCAGGAGAGGAAAGUGGAAUUCCCAGUGUAGCGGUGAAAUGCGUAGAUAUUGGGAGGAACACCAGUAGCGAAGGCGGCUUUCUGGACUGCAACUGACACUGAGGCACGAAAGCGUGGGUAGCAAACAGG